RNAcentral lists this ribosomal RNA (253 nucleotides) under uncultured bacterium. RNAcentral describes it as "partial 16S ribosomal RNA". It matches the Rfam family "Bacterial small subunit ribosomal RNA", at positions 524 to 776 of the family's 1533-position model. The record is from RNAcentral.
UACGAAGGGGGCUAGCGUUGUUCGGAAUCACUGGGCGUAAAGCGCACGUAGGCGGAUUGUUAAGUCGGGGGUGAAAUCCUGAGGCUCAACCUCAGAACUGCCUUCGAUACUGGCAAUCUUGAGUCCGGGAGAGGUGAGUGGAACUGCUAGUGUAGAGGUGAAAUUCGUAGAUAUUAGCAAGAACACCAGUGGCGAAGGCGGCUCACUGGCCCGGUACUGACGCUGAGGUGCGAAAGCGUGGGGAGCAAACAGG